AUAUUUAGUUAGUUAAGAUAGUUUUAAAAAUUGUCUAUAAAGCCUUCAAAAAUUAAAUAAAAAUCAGAAUGAAAUAUUUCUCAACCUAAAUGAAGGUCUUUUCUGUCCCCCACCAGCGGUAAAACAAUUACAAUCUUCAUUGAGUUUAUACAUUUGGUCCUUCGAGCCGGAUAAAGAGCUCAGCCAACAUAAGCCCUGUCAUUAAAAAAAUGCAAGCAAUAUAAAAAUAAAAAGUCCUGUAUGAGAAACAAACAGGCAAUAUAAUUUGGUCUUACAAAAAUUAAAAAAUGCUUUAUGAUAUACAUACAGGCAACAAAAAAAAGACCUGUAUUUAUAAAACAGGCAAAAACAAAAGUCCUGUAAUUCACGCAGACAUAGAAAGAAGCCCUGUCAAAAAUAUAAAAAAAGUCCUGUUUGAGAAACAAACAGGCAAUAUUAAAGUAAGUCGGAAUAGCAAAGACUAUCCGCAAUUAUGAAAGUACAUAUAUAUUUAUAGUAUAUAUGUAAGCACUUUUCGUAAAAGUAAAACCGAAAAAGUGUUAAAAGCGACCUUGUAGCUUAAUAAUAACAAGUACAGUGUUAAAUAAAAAUUCAUGUUUGAGAAGCAAACAGGCAAUAUUUGGAAACUAGAGGAUAUAUAUAUUUAUGAAGAUAUACAAGAUGACCAACUAUAGAAAAAAAAGACAUCAAGUGGCAUUUUAUUCCCCCGGAGACUCCGCACUUUGGAGGAAUUAGGGAGGCUUGUUUUGUUGUCAUAGACGCAACAUCGGAUCCUGAUCCUGAAGAGCCAAAUGAAAAUGUAGAAAUUAAAGUUUCCGACGAUGAAGGCAUAACAAAUGAAGAUGACUCAAAUGAUUUUAAGUUUGGUACUACAACCAAAAAGAGACGUUCUAAAGGUAGACGAGAUAGAUUCAAAACAACGGCCGCAGCACAUGGAACCCAAAGGUCAAGGAGGAAAAACAUAUGAGAUGUUCGGCAAGCAGUGAAGAGUUGUAUGAUUUAUACAAAGGACUGCGCAGCAAGCAAGACGUGCGCGGAACGUAUACGCAUGUAUGUAUGAAGCAAAAAUCAAUGAUUUCAUAAGCGCUUUAAUCAGGAGUGUUGUGGAAUCCAAGACAGAUUAACGUUGUUGUCAGAAUUGCAAACCAAUUCUUGUUUUCAAUGAUUAGAUUUUCGUCUUUUCGAACAUGCUAAUGAGACAAAACUUGCAAUGAAUAAAUUUGGAAGCGUUGGAUAAAUUUUAAAUACUAAAUAUAUUCUAUUAAAGUUUAAAAUUAAUCCGCUUUAAUUUUAUUGGAAUAAAAAAUUGUGAAAUUCGGCUUGCAUUUAUUUGUAUGCUUGCAUCAAUGCUUACUUUACAGAUUUAUAUCUCAUUAUCCACUGAAUAAAAACGCAUUCGAAUGUUAAAUUACGUUUAUUACGUUUUGUAAAUCCCCUUAAAAUAUCUGUAUUUAUUCUAUAAACUCAAUAAUUAUGACAUUGUAUGUUAUAUUCUUACGUUUUCGCCCAAAGAAAUAAAGAUAAAUUAAACCGUAGCAAUAAUACAUUAAUUUUUUAACAAUCUGUCAGCGACUAUCUUCUUGCUUUGUUUCUGAUAACAAACCAUUGUAUAAAACUACUUAUACAAUGUAACAAACCCGAUAAAAUAAAAUUUCUGUGACACCCAAAAUCGAUACAAUUUUGAUUUCGAAUGUCAAACCAAUAAUAGUGAAUUCAUGACCCCUACAACAUUUUUUAUCACUUUUAAUUCUGAUUUCGACAACUAUCAGAUUCUACAACACCCCUGAUUAUAGAGUGAAAAUGAAGGUCCAUUCAGAUACAACUUUCCUCGCUUUACGUGAUAGUUCAUACUAGUGAUGAUUUUUUCGUAAUGAUUGAAAAAUCGCAUAUCGCAACUACGAUCAUUUUUUGCAAAUAGGUGUUCACUUUUAUGAGUUACGAUUGAGAUAGCAGUUCCAUCCUCUGAAUUUGUGAAAUUGUGAAUUUUUAACAAUACAGUUUAAUAGGGUUACUUGAGAUCGCAAUAACAGAACAGCAUAAUAACAGAAACGUGGCAGAUUUCUUCAAGAUAUUGCAAAUGCAAUAAUGGAUUAAAAAUUCAAUUUAUAUUGUUUUAUCCCGAUUUGGGAUCUUCUGUAUCGAAACUUUUAAUAUUCGAGUAUAUUAGACACAAAUAAUUCGAAAGUUACUAGCACAUUCAAUAUUGAAGUUCAGAGUCAUUUGGAAAGUGAAGUCAUUGGCUGAACAGAAGAUUCGUUGCAAUGGUGGAAAACAAAUAGUUCAAAGUACCUGCACCAAUUUCGCGUGAAAAAUUAAGACGCUUAGAAUCGUCUGUGCCUCCUGAAAUGUUAAUUUCUAUCACUGAAAUCACAGAUAUCGAAAAAUUGCAACAUCGCUCAUCACUAGUUCAUACUGAAACAACAAAGCGCACAAAACAAAGGAUAUGCCACAAUGAAGGCUUUUCUUUCAGUGUUUCUCCCUAAUAAAAAUGGCGACGAUUGCUGGGGAAAGCGUGAAAAAAUUAGAACUGCCCAACAUUUUGCUUGGCUUCGCGUAGAAAAUUUUUAAGGGAAGUACUCAUACAAAAGCGUAUAUAACUUUUAUGUUUAUUGGUCAUUAAAUUUGUUCUUUGUAGAACAUUUAAAUAAUAUAUGGUCAAAAAUGCUGUGAAAUCACAAGAAACUUGACAGUGACAUUGUACAAUUGGAUUGAAGUGGAAUUUUGGGAUAGUUGGGAAGGCACGAGCGAUUUUUCUUGUACCGCAAUACUGAACGCAAAUUAACAACUAGAAAAAUUUAAAUAAAAAUACGUUAAUUUUCAUAGUAAUUUCAACAAAUUUUAACAACAGCGAUUUUUAAGAAACUUGGUUUCAAAUUUGACAAACAAAAUAUAUUCAAUCCAUAAAUGAUAAAAAGAGAAAAUUCGAAAAUUUCGCAUUAACUUUUUAAUCUUUCGCAAUUUUGUAUUCCUUUAGGCCAUCGUUUGUAACCCAGUGACCUAUGUAUUAAUUGCCGUGUAUGAACUCACUCCUAAUGUGCAGGACUUGCCAGAACUGAAUUCACCGAGCUAACAAAUAAAGUCAAAUCACAACGUUUUCUUUGAAAAUGUGCUUCCUGCAAUUUGAAAGUUAGUGUCGUCACUCAGGAUGAUCUUGACCUUUUAAAUGACGAGGAUGAUAGCAUUACCAUAGAUAAGCUUAAUCGUCUGCUCGAUGAGCAAUAUUUGCAGCUCACCACAUCCUUUGAAAAUAAAUUAAACAGUUUUAAGUCGGUUAUAUGUUAGAAAAAAACGUCACAGAUAUCGGGAAGGAUGUUACAACCUUAACUCAUCAGAACAAACGCAUAGUGUUUCAGCACCAACAGAAGAAAUCAUCGCGGGGUUCUCAGAACGUAUAAGGCGUGAAUCAAAUGUGGCUAUGCUCUACAUAAAAGGACUAAAAAAAAAGCAGACGGUAAAGACUGCCUCGAUGAAGACAGAACCGUCAUCUAGAUUGUACUGCCUUCUGACUUAAAUUCUAAUAUACAUAAUUUUAAACUUCGUCGCCUAGGUUGCCCUUCUGCCGACCGCUACUAGUAGAGAAUCCAUCUCCUUCUGUAGCUCGUGCAAUAUUAAAGUAUAAACAGCCAUAACCUGCAGAUUAAUCUGCCAAAGUGAUAUUUAAAUCGAACCUUACUCCUGUUCAGCUCCAACGACAUAAAUAACCUCCGGGCUGAGCUUGAUACACUAGUAAAAAAUGGCGACACCUAAAAAACUAUUAGAUAAGUUAACGGUAUUCGAAAACUAGUUGACAAAAAUUUUCGCCUACUUAAUGAAAAGGGAAACUCAAUCGAUCAGACGUGAGAGGACUACGCACCAAGCUCGACAGUUUUCUAACAGCGACAGCAACAGCAUUAGCAGCAUUGAUGCCUUGGGCAUCACGGAAUCAUGGUUCCCCCCACCCAUCCGCGAUAAGGAAGUAAUAGACGACUCAUUUUUAUUUCUUUAGCACGAAUAGAAGUUAUUCCAUAUGUAAAAUUAAAAAUAUAUAAAUUAAAUAUAUUAUAUAUUAAAUUAAAUCAAUUAAAAAAUACA
This is a non-coding RNA of Bactrocera oleae (olive fruit fly), 4071 nucleotides long. NCBI's taxonomy places the organism in Eukaryota, Metazoa, Arthropoda, Insecta, Diptera, Tephritidae. The record is from RefSeq and is a predicted model, not a curated record.